Molecule: long non-coding RNA, 1130 nt
Organism: Astatotilapia calliptera (eastern happy)
Lineage: Eukaryota; Metazoa; Chordata; Actinopteri; Cichliformes; Cichlidae
Source: Ensembl
GAUAAACCUGAAACUUGAACUUUGUCGGUGUUGUGUUGAUCAGAGUCAAGACUGAAACAGAAAGUCUUUUAACUGCUGACCGUGUUUAUUAAAUGUGUUCACUGUACUCUGGAAUUGUGACCUUGUACAUUUAUUUAUUUCACAGACUUUAUCUUCAUUUAUGGACAGACAUGUCAUACAGAAACUGUCACACUUUUGUCACUUUGUUUUAUGUCUCAUAAUCCCACCUACAGAAUGAGCAGAUAAGAAAGGAAUGUGGUUGCUAAGGAGGUGUUGCUAUGGACACUGCUGUCACGCAGGUGCAGGGUGUGGGCUGUAGAAAACAGGAUGACACGGAAAUACAGGUUAGUUUGGUUUGUGGCUGUGACGGCACUUUACACACAGAUUUUACUUUUUAUUUUUCUCCUUAUUUUUGUAACUUUUUACUUGUUUUUCAUCAAACCUCCUCCAGUAACCUUUGAUUUACAGGAAAGCAAUCGGGUAUACCAAAGCUACACUUUCCAGAUUUUAGUGGAUUUUAUAUUUUUGUUUUUGAUUUUUUAUCAUAAUGGUCAGACGACUCUUUGAGGAUUUUGGAGAUCUCUUCAGAACAACAGUAACAAUGUACUGAGAGACUCCUGCACUGAUGUUUCAUAGGAAAGUCCAAACAGCCUCACUGGUUCUCCAUAAAGAACAAAGAUUUGCUCUCUGUGGCUCCAACACAACUUAAAGACAAUCAAAGGUGGACAAAGUUCUCCAGAACAGCUGUGGUUUUAUGGAGGCUACAGCUAAAUGCUGCCUCUACUACUUUUUAGUAGAGUCAACACUUAUUUUGACAUCACUUCCUUAUGAGAAAAAAUCGUGGGUCAGAGCUGAGGAGUUCCAGGCUGGUUUACACAUAACAAUGUUUCCCUGAGAAUCAUUUUCAUAUUGAGUCAGUAGUUCUGUCUGUGACGGCCACACAAGGAUGUAACAUGUUGGUGUAAUCCAGACAGAGAAGUGUAAUGUGUGUGUCAGUGUGAUGUGUUGUAGUGUCAGGAGUCAGUAUGCAGCUACAAAGCUUUUAGUUCAGUGUAUACAAACAGCUGUAGCUCCAUAAAGGCAGCAUGCAGAGACUCACAGUGUCUUAUAAUGAGAGGCUGCUUUCUCUC